GUGAGAACUAUAUAAAUAUAGUUCCAAGUGGGUACGGCCACCUAAGGGAAGAGCUCGACCCACCAGGUCUAAAGGAGGCACUGAAACAUGUUAGUCCAACAAAUAAUCAUAAUAAUUUAUGCAGAUAUUAAAACAUGUAUGCCUCACGAAAUGCAAUAUGCAAUCCCUGUAAUCAUGCAAGUAGGUUACUUUAACGCUACUUAUGUUCUUAAUCAUUAUUUACUCUUUGCCAUUUAAUGUUCACUUUUAGCUCUUAGCUAUUCUUUACUUGUACCCUUUCUUUACUCUUCCGCUACUCUUUACUCUUUACACUCUGUUGCACUUUCUAACUGGCCAUUCUUUCCUAAGGUUUCUCUUACCUUAGUUCUCUAUGCCACCCGACUCGGUCUUGAGUCAAUCAAUCGCGGAUAGUCCGCGCACUGUCUAGCUUGAGGUGAAGGAACUCUCACAUGCACCUCAGCUGGCAACAGCUCACCGUACUCCUGUCCUAGCCGUCUGGCGGCGAACGGAUCGUACCUCACCCAACAACGGCCUAGGUCUAUGACUUAGCCACCCGGCGGCGAAAUCGUCGCACACGCCACGACAGUGGUUCAGUAAACAGGCGGUAGGAUCCACAAACUGGCUAACCAUCCAGCGGCGAAAUCGUCGCACACGCCACGACAAUGGUUCUCUAGCCCCUGGGCGGCGAAAUCGUCGCACACACCCGACACCACUUUGGGUGUAUCCAUUUAGCCUUGGGAUUCCGGAAUCCAUAUCACAUUAACCAAGGGUUUACUCUUUUACCCUAUGUCGACGACCUUUCUAGGUCUAAACCAAUCAUUUUUGUGUGGUCUUUCUACCACUAUAAUCCAUAACUUAGUCCAACUUUACUAAGUGUCACUAUAUGUCAUAACCUAGGUUCAUUUACACUAGGUUCAUUCCAUGUCCAACCUAUAUCUAAUAACACUAGGUUCAUGCCACUCGAUCUAUUUAUUAUCCUAGUUAUCCACGUCUAGGAUUAUAGUUUACACGUUUCAUGUUCAAUUUACAUGACUUUAGUCUAUGUAUCAACAUUCAUAUAUCAUUUAUCAUUCAUAUGUUCAUAUACCGACAUUCCUAUACAUUUAGCAUGAACUACAAUGCAUUCGUAUGCGUCUAGUAUGUUCGUCAUAUGACAAUCAUCAUAUAUCAUCUAGCAUGAGAUUCACAUUCAUAAGUAUUUAUUCAUAUGUCUCUAGCAUUCACUUUCAUACAUGUUUAAUCUUAUGCAACUAGCAUUCAUAUUCAUAUGUCGAUUAUCAUAAUAUGUCAACAAUCAUAUAUGCUCUAACAUCUAUGUAUUAUCCUACAUCUAGUUGUCCCCAUAUCUAGGUAUUAUUGCUUCACAAUCGCAUUGUAAUUGUCGGAUUUCUAAUCAAUUAGAGUUAUGACCCCAUAUUCUGCUUGUAUGAUUCUAACAGGGCUCACAUUAUGUUUCAUAAUCAUUGCCAUCAUCGGGUAUUAUCCACACAGAUAUUAGACAUGCAUAUUCUAAGGUAGAUAACAAUGAUUGAUAGCAAUACGAUUUAAGCCUUUCAUAUUAUUACUCAGCAAUCUACCAACUAUACAUGUAUCGUCAAAAUAAUUAUACUUUACUUUGGCAUGGAAGUGACGCUAAUUCACUUCGGUAAAAACACAAACGCCAUCUUUACUCGUCAUAACGGAAUGCGAGAAUCCACUUCCCGCACUUUCCCAAGAAUCACGAACUCCACACCGCGAUAAUUGAAGACAAAAACGUCUUUGGCGAUAUCUUUGCGAGGCUCGACGAGUUGCCGAACCGACUCGCGCAAACGCUUCGCUUUAACCGCUCAUUAGGUUGUAAUGCGAUCUCAUUUCCAAGUUAGGGCCUUGCAAUCCUCGCAAAGUGCAUUAUCCGAUGGUUAAAGCUGCGUCAUAUAAAUGUUACAAUACAAACUCUAUAAAAUAUAUAGAGUAAUUUGCAUUUCGCUAACCAAAACUUCAACUAAGUACUUACAUCAAGAAGACUAAACUCUGUCAUUACUAAUUCUAUAGUUUCUCACCCUUUUUACAACUUGACAUAUCACUGAGGCUUAGCCAUAUUAUAUCAUCAACCUAUAGCUUUAAUAGGUGUAAUCUAUACAUACCGCACUCUAAAAUUGAACCACGUCAUCCAUGGAAUUUAAACCUCUUUAUACAAGCGAUUAACAUCCGCCUGUCAGAAAUUAAAGCUAAUUUACCCCAGAUUUGCCUGCUUUAACAUACAAUUCACAAGACACUAUUCAUACAUAUAUGUAUGUGUAAGCUUCGCAUCAGUUUUCUAAAUCUUUUUUCAUGGUUUAAGGGUUCGCACAUGCUCUAAAUCUGCAGCUUAAAGAAACUUCUUGGAAUGUAAAGUAGGUAACCUCAAACCCAGGAAUUAACUUCACCAUACUCAGUUUUCACUUCUAAACAACAAUUUACAAGUAUACAAUCAAUAGCAUGUUCCCCUGAAAUUCCCUUAGGCCAUUCAAUGGUAUUGAGGUUCUCUAAUACUUAAAACGCUUAAUUUUAGAAUCCUUGGAAGGUAACUACACAAUCUAAACAGAAAAACAUCACUCUUGUUCAGAAAUUUCACUAAUUUAUCUCUGCUCCAUUCCUAUCAUAACUCACACUCAAUGGGUUCAUAGUGCAAUUUUCAGGUUUCUACACCCUCGCAACGUCAGCAUACAGUUCAAAAUCCUACAUCUUCUAAUGUAGUAAAUGAACCAUUUCAUAACCCAAUCAGCUUACUUAAUUCGAUUGCUCCAACACCAAAAAAAACGCUCUACCAAGUCCUUUCUUCUAGCUCACACCAAGCAAAGCUGCACUUCAUUUCUUCUUAGCUCAAUCAAGAGAAAUCUGCACUUCUUGCUUUCCGCAGCUCCUACUUCAAGCUCCCUCAAAUACCUUCUGCAAUUCGAACAGCAAGGAACUCCCUCAAGUCUCUCUCGGAUUCACAUCUCCGACCGGUUUCUCCCAUUACUGGUCGCAGCUUCCACAGCUAACAACCAUCAAGAAAACCUAACUCCUCCUAUCAAGUCGGUUUAUCGAGAGAAGGGAAGGUAAAUAAAAGAAAUGAGAAAGAGGGAGAUAGAAGCUCUGAUACGCUAAUGUUUGACAGGUUGAGGAUGCUGCGUUACCCGUGAUACAAUCACUCAAAAUGCAUUUAAAGCCCCUCAAAUUGCUGGAAACUGCAUUGCAUCGCAGCAGUCUCGCAAUCAGUCCCUGCAGGUUCGUAAUUUAGUCUUUGCAGGUUCGCACUUUAGUCCCUGCACCUACCCUCAGCCUGCCAAGCAGCAAAUUGAGGCCUUUUUUUGCGCCAUUUUAGUUCGCUCCGGCAAUUCACCCAAACACUUUCAAAACAUAUCCAAGGGACCUUACACAAGCUUCCAAUUUAAUCUCGAAGCAACGUCACUUUCAUUUUGGAUCAUGAUACUCAGUAAACAAAAUCAAUCAAUAUGACCGGUUACAGCCUGGCAGCACACUUGAAGUUUCUUUUUGCACGUAACUCACUUCGUACUGAACACUUCGAACCCUUUGACAACAUACAUUUGCCUUUCCAAGCCUCACAAUCAUUCGGAGAUACCACAAAUUAUCCUCACGCCUUAACUUUGAUUUACUUCAUCAAAGUUAAAUGCUAUAAUUCCGAACUCGCUUUUUUUCUUUUCGUUUCGGUGGCGCCAUUUGCGCUCGAAACACUCAUUAUCUCCGAAUUCAUUCCACGCAUCUAAAAUCACUAUGGGAAAAGAUCAAAACUAGCUCAAGCCUCAUACUUUGAUCCCCUCGAUCAAGUUAGCAUCGCACUCAAGGUUUCCCAUAUAUUAACACUCUCAAUCUCCCUCACACUCACUCAUUUCACUCUUUCACUCUUCAUUGCUCUCUCCCCCUUGCCUCUCUAUCUCUCUAAGAAAAAGAAAGGAAAAGAAGAAGAACAAGCAAAGAGAGGAAGGAUAAAGAAGAGGAUAGAAAAGAAGGAUAAGAAAAGGAGAUCAAAGGAAGGCUUUGCGCACCUUCCAUCUCCCUCUCCUCUUCUCUCUGUGUGUAGCAUCACUGGAGGUAGCUCUUGAUGGGCUAGCUUCUAAACUUUGGAGUUUUGGAUUUUUAUGCUUUGGAAUGGGUCAAAUGGACCCUUAAUGAGCUUCUAAAUAGAUCAAGAAUCCUAAGAAAUCUAGGAUUUAUUGGGUGGUUUGCAUAUAGGUGCAAAUCUAGGGCUCGCCAAAGGGGCUUUUGUGAAUAUAUUAUAAAGAUUGAGUUCAUUUGAACCCUUGGAAACCUCUAUUGUUAGGUUCACAAACAUGGGGGCGAAGUCGUUUGGCAUUCGCGAACUGGCGUGAAGUUUCUCGCAAAACUAGGGGCCGGGCUAGGCAUUGAUUGGCAAAGGAAGGCUAAAGCCUUUCGUAAAGUUGCCGAGAAGAAUAUCCAAGCUCUACAUCGAUUAAGUAGGGAGUGCACAUCUCAAAGUUUCGACCUCCUUUACAUGUCUUAGAAUUGCAUUUAAUCUCAUCUCUUCAUGUCAUUGUAGGAAUUGCAGUAGUACCGUCCUUCCUUAUAUUUCUAAUAUAACCUAGUUAGCUUGUAAAUGCUCGGGUAACCUCUAAUAAUGAGGAUUGGGGGUCGAACUGGAUCUCUAUGAUGCGAAAGAUGAGAUGAACGCCAUGGGGGUGUUGCAUGACAUAGAAAGUUUGUUAAUGUUAAAGACCAAACGAUGCUAUCUCAAACAUUGAAUGAUGACGAGUUGUAUUAUUAAAUGUGUUAUAUGACACUAGAGUUUGAGACUAGAGAGGUGGAUCCUAGAAAAAUGCCUAGUGAACAAUGAAUUUAGACAAACUAUAAUAGCAUUGCAUGAAUGCCUGGGGAACAAAUGAUCCGCGCCAGAGAUGUUACUCUAUUAUAGAGGGCAUCCUCCACUUGGAGAGGAUUUUGAUUGGUUGUGAUCCGCUAGACAUAGUGCCUCACUUGAGAAGGAUAUGGAUUGGGUUGUUGAAUUAGUGGAUAGUGUUAUCCUCACUUGUGAGAGGCAUAGAUCUAGGCUCACAGGUCUGCGUUUGGGAAUGGUAAUAGCCAUCCAAUCCCCAUGAGGGAUUGUCGUCGAGUAUCCCGAGUGUCGCGCUGACUAGGGACCCACUUUGGAGUCCGGACACACAUGAGGCCGCAGACGGUCCGCUGGGCUUGGUUGGCAUCUUGAGCUCGCCUCCCACUUUGGGAAUUGAAGUGUGAUCAUAGGCGAGGCCGCUAGGACCGCUCGGCCACAGAUUGGGUAAUGGAGAGUUAAAGGUUUAACAUUGUCAUUGACACAUUCUACUUAUUCGAAACAUAGAUGCGCAGAUUUGUUAGUGCAUGGUACAAAUCUUCUAUUCAUAUAAUGCAUGCUUCAUAUUCAAUCGAUUAAUGGGCAUAUAGUACUAUGUUUUCCCCUACUAUUGCACUUUAUCAGUUUUUUAGAUACAUAUCUAUCUAUCUAUCUGUUGUUAGCUUGUGGCCGGACUUGGACGCUACGUGGGGAGAUCGUGCCGCGUCGGCGAACCGAGCCCCAAUGGGAACUAUGGAAGAUAGUUUCUCACCCACACUCUUAUUUCCAGUGGAGGUAAGGAUUAGCCGAGGUGAGGACCGCGGCAAGGGCAUCCGCAGCGCCGAUCAGUGAGACCCGUCGUAGUUGUAGCUUUUCCUUUUGGCAGUUAGUUCACUAUGUAUUUGAGUAGAUUUCUAUUGAGGUGAUGGACUUGGGGCUUAUAUUUUUGAGAUGGAAAAUGUAUUCCAUUUGCAAGAAAAUGUGUAAAUGAAAACUACUGUAAAAGUUAGUAAAGUAUUCUCUUUUCAUUUCACAUGUAGCAUCUUGUGGAUCACUUGCUUUUGUAUUUGUCGCAUUGUUUGCGCCUCCUUGUGAUGGUACGUUUAGAAUUUGAGUUCUUGGAGAAUUUGAGUUCUUGGUAAAUCGUUGUACCCACAUUCUUGUUUGUUGAGCCUUAGGGCGGACAGGGAUCGUGCUGUCCGUUCGACAGUACCGCGCUUGCGCGCCGAACCGUGCCAAAUCUGGUAAGUGGGUUUCGGGGCGGGGCGUGAGUAGUUAAUUCGUUGUAUCGAGCAUAAGCAAGUAAAGAGAGAAAGUCUGAGAUGAACCUCGGAACCCUAGGUUGAUAAGCCUAAGGUUAUAGUGCGUGAGCAGACGUGAACCUAUACGAUGGCGAAUUAAUUCGACUUUGCUUCAAGGUUGGGUAAAAUUGAUGGUUCUAUUGUGAUUAGCGACGGUACUCAAGUUGUAGAUUCUGCUUGAGGUAGUGUGUGUCGGCGCCGACGACAAUGAUACAAGAGCCUAGAAAAGUGGCACUUGUGUCUUUCCGCCCGAUUCCUGUGGUAAAGUCGUCAUGUUCGUAAUUCGACGAGUAAUGGGUUAAGAAGAACUGACCAAAUUGUAUUGCGUUUCCGGGACUGAUGUCUCCAAGACGCUACACACGUAGACUGCCCAAGCACCGAUUCCUCGAGGUGCCUCCAGCAGGAGUGAACCGAUGCGUAAUCAUCGGUUGGCAGCGCAGGUGACCGGCUGGAAAUCAAUGUGUGCCCGCCGAAGAGACCCGAUUCGAGUUGCUCUAGGAUCUUUUGGCAGGGCGGCAGAUACGGCUGCACUGGCGACGGUGCCAUGAAGGUGGUGGUCCGCCCGCACACCGUCGACUCAUAAAUACGGAGCAGAGGUGAGGCAUGAGCGCCGUUCCGGUGAUGCCAACCCACACCGCCAACGAUCCGUACCACAGGUCGCAUCGGGAUCAGGGCUAACCCGAUGUGUCGCCCGAAGACGUGAGGGAGAGUGCGCAUUACGGCUUCUUAUUCAAGUUCAACAAGUUCCAUCGCCCAACUUUCGAGGCGAGAAGUGGAACGGAGAUGGUUGAGUCUUGGAUCGAACUCGAUGGAGACCCUUUCGAUGACUUGCUGUACCUUGGAGAGGGACAAGGUGUAUUUCGCCACGCACUGCUUGUAGACGCCGGCGAGUUUGUGGAGUGAAUCAGACGGAAUUCGGCUUCCCGCUUUCGCCAAUUGCUCGUGGUGAGAAUUCAAAGCGGGAGAUGUUCGCCAACGUAUUCCCCGAUACGUUGAAGCGGUAAGCUCAAGGAGAAGUUCCGCACGCGUAGAGCAAGGAGACCGCUCAGUGGGCGGAGUACGCAACAAGAAAAUUCUCCAAUAUAUCGAUUGCGUCCGGGAUUUGUAAAGGAUGACCGGACCGGCCGAGUGGUUCUUCGCGAGACUUCGGCCGGGCAAAUCUAAAGGCCGUGCAAAUACACAAGCUCACUGACUUUGGCGGAGGUCUUGAUGCGAGCUAUGGGCGGAGCACGAAGAUGCGCACGUUUCGGCGAGAAGCGUGAGCUAUUGUCGGAGUCCAAGGAUAAUGGCAAGAAAUGCCAAGGUGCGGUAGUUCGGGGACAAACACGUUACAAGAACCCGCGAAGUACCCGCGACUCACAGAGAAGACGGUAGAGCGCGCGAUGAUCGUAUACGGCGAGGACCGCCCGGUCCUCGCGCUGUGAGGCAAGGCCGGAGGCAAGUGCACAAAUGUGGCAAAACCGGGGCAACUUCAUUCGGGACUGCCCACGGUGAGGAGAGAGCCUCGCCUGCCCAGGCGAUUGCAUCGUGCGUGGGCGAUCCCGCACAUCUAUGGAGGAGCUCCAACCCGACGACCGCGCCGACUGGACGCGCGAUGAUGCGCGUCAAACUGUAUUAAGCGACGGCGAUGCGGCCCCGACCGACGGGUGUUCGCCGCUCAGUCCAAGCUGAUGAAACCUGCGGAGCGAAGAGCAUCGCCUUGUGGCAGGUUAUGGUUUAAUUAACGGAGUCGCUUCAGGGCCUUUAUUUGUACAGGAGCUCGCGCAUUCAUUCAUAAGUAGAUCAUUUCGCACGCAUGGCAUGACAAUACUCAUAGAGGCUGAGUGACAAUGGCGAGGGAGGGCCCUGGGUCGACGUUAACGCACUACUCGGAUGUGCGUCGUGUUCAUAGCAAAUAGGGUGACUGGACUCAUGCCUAUCCGGAACACUGGAACUCACUAAAGCUGAGGCUUUGAGGUCUAUUCUGGUCAUGGACUGCUCUCGAAAUAUCACGCAAUCGAUCGACUGCAAGAGCAAGUGAUCCACGUCUGCGAGCCAGGACUAAGAGGAAUUCCAUAAUCACAGGCUGUCAAGCUGCGUGCUUCGUCGCGACGGUGUCGCGACGAGAGCGAGGAAAUUGGUCAUACAGCGGUUGCACGACUUUUUGCAACUUUGUAGAAGUGGACACGAGUAGCUCCAACAAUUUAGAUGGAGUUUAUCGUGUGCGGGAGUUCCUGGAUGUGCUUUCCUACGGAUCUGCCGGGGAUACCACCGAUCGGGAGAUGCGAGUCCAUUCAUAGAACUUGUUCCCGAUACCGCACCGAUCUCAAAGGCUCUCGUACCGAAUGCCGCAGACCGGAAUGAACGGAGUUUUUGAAAUGAUCAAGCUGCAGACCUCCUGCGACAAGCAAUGUAUCCGGCCAAGUUGUAUCACCUUGUGGGGAGCCCCGGUAUUGUUUUGUAAGGAAGCAGGAUGGAUCGUUUCGAACUCUUGCGUGGAUUUAUCGAAGAAUAAACAGAGUCACGAUCAAAGACACAAGUACCCGCUAACUCCGAAUUUGAUGAUCUGUUCGAAUCAGAUUGCAUAGGGUCCAUAGCGUGUACCAAAAUAGACUUGGCAAUCCUGGCUAUCACAGUCUAAAGUAAGCCGGAGGAGUGCAGAACCAAACUGGCGUUCUGUAAGGCGGUAUGAGACAUUACGAAUUCAUGGUCUAUGCCAUUUUGACUCGAUGCUCCAGCGGCAUUUAUGGAUUUAAUGAACCGUGUCUCUAAGGGAGUCAUUUUGAUUCGAUUGUCGUCGUCUUCAUAGGAUGACAUCAUUGCGUACUAUUCUUGUAGUGACAGGAACAUGCCGAGCAUUUUGAGAUAGUGUUCAUGUGCCUUCGUGAGAGAAGCUAUAUGCUAACCGAAGAAUGUAGACUCUGGCUUUCGCGAGGUCGCCUUCUAGGGGCUGUGAUCCCAGCGGCGUAGCAGUUCUGUAGCACUCGAGGAACAAUUGAGGGCAAUAUAGAUUGGCCACGCCCCGACGAAUUCACCGGAGUUCGACACGCUCGUGGCUUGGUGUGGCUAAUUUAUAGGCGGUUCGUUGAAGGCUUUCCAAGUGAUUCCACUUACCCGCCUGACUCAGAGGCACCAUAGUUGUGUGAGCGAAGAAGUGCGACCGGAGCUUCAAAGAGUUGAAAGCAAAGAUUGACUUCGACUUCGCGGUGCUCAGCUCUAUCCGGUGACGCAGGGCGACAGAGCUUCGUAGUCUACAGUGUAUGCCUCCUAUCUUGGAUUGGGGCGUGUGUUAAGCAAAACGGGAGCGGUGAUGCGCUUUCAUGCAUCUCGUCAGCGUGAAGAUGGCUAUGAAAAGAACUACUCCAUCACGAUUUGGAGCUUAGCUGACGGUGAUUUUCCCUUGAUAGCUGUGGAGGCACUACUUAAUAUGGUGACCAUGUGUGAGAUCUAUACCUGAGCGCACAAGAGCUUGAAAGUAUCUGCUUCACACAGAAGGAGGCUCAACAUCGGCGUCAGCCGGGCGGUGGUUGGAGCUGUAAAGGAUUAUGACGUUUGAUCAUCCUCUCCCACCCGGAAGGCAAUGUGGUCGCGGACGGCACUAGUAGGAAGUCGGCGAAGAACCUCGCAUCCUUUGAUAUUACCCAGCAAACUACCGCCUAUGGCUGAAUAUGGAUCGAUUGGACCUUGAAGUGUCGUCUAGGUUGAGGUCACUCACUUGAUGGCCUCGUUGUCCAAGCCGACCUUGUCUGAGAGGAUCAAAGAUUGCAACCCGCAGACCCACGAACUCCAAAAGGUAUUGGCGAAAACAUCAAGGAGAGGGGCAUGGCGGCGCUUUCAAGGUAGACGCUUGAGGGUCAGCUUCGGUUUUUGAACGCCGACUGUGUGUGCCGAAAGAUGGAGAACUUCGUGAAUUGAUUCACAAGAAGCAACACUGCUUCCAUAUCGAUCACUACCGGGCGGCACCAAGAUGUAUCAAGGACUGAGAUCACUACUGGUGCGCCGGAAAUGACAAAGGUGACAUUGGACGCUUUGUGGCAAAGUGCUAACAUGCCAACAAUGAAGGCCUGAGCGUCGAUUUUCAGCGGAAAAGCGUGAAGCCUACCAACCCCGUUUGAAAGUGGGAAGACAUAUCGAUGGACUUCAUGUCGGCUUGCCUCGGCUUAAGUUAGCACAGGUAUAUCUUCUUGAACGAGAUAGUGAGACUACAUUGGUGGUGAACGAAAUCGAUCGUGUCGAUCGUGACCCCCGUUCAACUGUCACACUUCUAGAAGAGCCUGCCAAAGACCUUGCAACUCGCUCGACUUUUAGACCGCAUUUCAUCACUCAGACACGAAUAGGGCAAACAGAGAGAAUCUAUUCAAACUCGGAGGACAGUUUUGCGAGCGGUGUGUCAUUGACUAUGAAGGGAAGUUGGUGUGAUCACCUACCUAUGGCCAAGUUCGCCUAAACAACAGUUUAUCAGCUAAUGUGAGAUGGCACGUUCGAGGCUCUUAUGGGCGGACGUGUCGAUCCCUAUAUCACUGGAGCGAUGUGGGUGAGUGUAUCAAGAGUUCGGCCCCGAUGUCUUGGCGAGAAGCGGUAGGAGAAAAAGUCAGGCCUUGCCUUGCAAGAGAUUGCUCCACUGCGCAGUCGAGACAGCUAAAAGCUAUGCCAUAUGGCGCCGGUCGAGAUAAUAGAGUUUCGCGGUGGGUGACCGCGAUAUUCUUAAAGUUUCGCCGAUAAGCGGGCGUGAAGGGCUGUUUGGAGUGCGGAAAAAAUUGAAGUCCCGGUAUAAUUGGCCAUAACCGAAAUAUUGGAGCGAGUCAGCAACGGUGGCCUACCAACUCGCUUUGUUGGCUCGCCGAAGCUUGCGGAUGUGGCAUAAUGUGUUGUCCAUUCCAAUCUCCGGAAGUAUAACUUCAGCGACCCACGAGAUGCAUGCUAUAUAAUCCCCAGAUUUCAAGGAACUGAGCUACGAAGAGUUUUCCGUAGGGAUUAUGCCGAGGAGUGCGCAAAGUGAGGAAUCGAGAAAUUCCCUAAUGUGCAAGUUAGUGAGUAACUCACGAGGUAUUACGAGCACCUAGGAAGCUCGAGGAUCUGAUGAGAAAACACUAUCCUUCAUCUAUUUGAGGAGUAAAGGGUAUGGAUUUAAAUUAAAGUAAAGAAUUGAGUUAGUUUCGAUGACCGAAUCUCCUUUAAGGGAGGGAGGAUGUAAGGAAAGCGAUUCUCCGAAAUCUCGAGGAUUGUACUUCAUCCAAGAUCGACAAUUUUAGAGAGAAUACCCUUUGUGGAGCUAAAAAUGUCCAAAUACAAAAAAGUGAUUUGGCAGUUUGAUCCCACGAGAGCGAAUGAUCAAACCAGCAUCGUUGUACUGAUGUUGCUGCUCGGGACCGGUCCCUGGAGGAGAGACCGGUUCCUUGGCUGGGUGUAGCGGGAUUGCUUGAUUGCCAACCGGUCCUGCAGGGAGGGACGCUGAUUCUCACGAACGUUGGGUCCCCCCGCCAUCGAGAACCACCUGCCAAAAUUUGGCUAAGUCAUUGAAAAAUCGACGCCUCUCGCGGGACCGGUCUUUCAGGCGGCGACGCGGUCUCCCGAGGACCAGUCUCCCGGGAGAGACCGUUCNNNNNNNNNNNNNNNNNNNNNNNNNCUCUAUCCAUCGUGCGAUGGGCGAAGCAAAUAAAGUAAAUCUUUAUUUGAAUCGACCUUUACACUUAUAUAUGUAUAUGUAUAUGUACAUGCAUAUAUGUAUAUGCAUAUGCAUAUGUAUAUGUAUAUGUAUAUGUAUAUAUGUAUAUGUAUAUGUAUGUAUAGAUGUAUAUGUAUAUGUAUAUGUGUCAGAGCCUGCGACCCGCCUCUUCGGUCAGGUUUGGACUGCCAACAGUCGUCGAACGGAUAGAGUCUCCCCUGUCCGCCCAAGGCAACAAACAGUACAAUACAAGAGGUUCCAAAUAGGAACAGUAUUCGUACACUGAUUUCAUAAUGAAAGGUAUCAAACAACAUAAAUACAACCUAUACUAUUACCAGCAUUCACAUUCAUACAUUUACACAUUUGUUUUCUUCCAAAUACAAUCUAAAUUAUUACAAAUUAAUUACAAGUUUGUUUCUCUCCAUUUCCUAUACCCCCUAGGCUAUGUUGACUCGGGGUACUGCUAUCUCUGGUCUCUGGGGUAGGGCGCUACCUACGAAGCUACGCCCUUUCCUCGUGCCGCUGCGCUGCUUAUGUGCGAACCUGUAAUACCCCAAAGCAACGUGGGAUGAGAACUAACUCCAUAGCUCCCAGUGCGUACAACCAUCCAAGGAAAAAGCUCGACCAACAGGUCCAAAGGAGGCAAACAACAUGUUAGUUCAACAAAUAGAUAUAAUAUCAUAAACUAUGCAACUAACAUAAAUCAUGCUUUGCCUCACAAAUGCGAUGUAACAUAUUGCAUCCCCGUAAUUCAUGCCGAGUUCUGUCGAAAUGAGCGGAGCGCGGAGUGGAACGAGUUGGAAUGGGUUCUUAGUGCAUUGGAACCUUGGUGUAAGGUAAAAAGACCCAAGAGAGCAAAAUCUGUGAAAAUGGCUAAGUCCCAAAUUUUGGGCUCUCGGGGUCCGGUCCCUGAAGGAGAGACCGGUCCCUAUAGGUUGGAAAAUUUUCCCUCGGCUGAGUUUUAGAAGUUUUGCUCUCGGGGUCCAGUCCGUGAAGGAGAGAUCGGUCCCCUACGCGUAGCCAGCCCAAAAAGGGUGGAAAAUCGGCUAAGUCCUGAGAGUGAUGCUCUCGGGGACCGGUCUUUGCGGGGAGAGACCGGUCCCCGUAAGCGAAAUGGGCCCCAGCGGCUAAGUCCUGGAAAACCCACUCUCGGGGACCGAUCCCUGCGGGGAGAGACUGGUCCCCGCAUGUGAAAAAUGCCCAGUGAGGGCUGAUGUGAAAAAUGGAAAUGAGAGGGGUUUAAGUGCAAUUGUGUCAUGUGUUGGGUGUAUAAGUGAGAGGGAUGGGUGUUAGGGCUCAUUUCUCUCCCACUCCAAUACCAAACAUCUCCCUCUCUCUCUCUAAAAACCUCUCCUCUCCCUCUCCUUCUCUCUAGAGCUUGUACCAAGGAGGGUUUUUAGAGGAGAAAAGCUUGGAGAAGAAGCUUCUCUAGUUGAAGGCAAGCUUGGGCAAGAGCUUUUGGAGGAAAGCUUUGGAUUAUAAAGGUGAGUUCCAUGUUUUUGAGCUAGGUUUUUGUCAUGCCCCCCGCCCCGAGACCGCUACCAAUUUGGCAUGGUUCGGGCACGGCGGACGGACCGCCGGACGGACAGCACCUCUCCUGCCCGCCCAAGGCUCCAACGACAAGAUUGUGUACCACAAGUUCCCAGGAAACAACUUGAAUACAUACACAAUCACUCAACAAUCACGAGAGCACAAGCAGUGCUUACAAUCACGAGCAAGCUACACAUGUAAAGCAUACAAGUGAUAAAAGAGAGAUGCACUUAUCUAUUACUCAUUUGGCUUUAUACAUUUAUUACAACUUGCAUUCUUCCAAACUUGUUCCACAUAUAUAUAUAUAUACAAUACAAUCCUCUCAAAACCUCACCCUAUACAACAAUCUACUCUCAAAAUAAGUACAGGGUGAUCGAGGAGUGUCCAUCACGUGAGGCCUCAAACCGUGCGCUCCCCCGGUCACAUCACGGGAACCUGGUCACAUCACAGGCGUCCGCCAGAGCCCCUUCCACUUAUCGAUCGGUGGAGGGGAUACUCUGAAGCUCUGCACUCUGACACUCGCUCGGAACGCAAGCGGCUCUCUAACCCACUAGUCUACUUACUGGAACAAUAACUUGUACCAUCAUACUAUCGGUCGGAAGAAUGAUACUCAAGGUACGUACGUAGUAUGACCUAACUCCGUAACUAUCUAGUAUUAACAAGUAAUGACAACGACGAAAGUUAAAAUAUAUAGAUAGAUAGACGUACAGAUAGAAACGGACGAAUCUGGAUCACCCCUCUAGCCGCCUCAGCCGCCGGCUUGGGUGACCCUUGAUAAGCAUCAAGAGUGAGGUGGUACAACGUCCAAGCUCAAGAUCGCGGGGACCACUCCUAGCGCCGUUCCCGCAUCGCGGGAUCGCUGAAAUCAUCUCCAAUGGAAGGAAUACGUAAUCAACNCAUAUUCAUAUGUCGAUUAUCAUAAUAUGUCAACAAUCAUAUAUGCUCUAACAUCUAUGUAUUAUCCUAGUUGUCCAUAUCUAGGAUUAUUGCUUACACAAUCUCAUUUGUAAUUGUCGGAUUCUCUAAUCAAUUUAGAGUUAUCGACCCAUAUUCUGCUUGUAUGAUUCUAACAGGCUCACAUUAUGUUCAUAAUCAUGCAUCAUCGGGUAUUAUCCACAAGAUAUUGACAUGCAUAUUCUAAUGGUAGAUAACAAUGAUUGA
RNAcentral lists this long non-coding RNA (14422 nucleotides) under Ananas comosus (pineapple). Its description in RNAcentral is "long non-coding RNA (ACOM_LNC007120)". The record is from RNAcentral. Lineage: Eukaryota; Viridiplantae; Streptophyta; Magnoliopsida; Poales; Bromeliaceae.